This 1251-nucleotide long non-coding RNA is filed under the name Chinchilla lanigera (long-tailed chinchilla). Its description in RNAcentral is "lncRNA (ENSCLAG00000024652.1)". The record is from RNAcentral. Lineage: Eukaryota; Metazoa; Chordata; Mammalia; Rodentia; Chinchillidae.
CUUUAAUAUUUUGUAUGUAAACAUAUACAAAUACAUAAUGGUAACAUUUAAUUUCAACAUGAAGUCAACACUUUGAAAAAUAUUAAUGUGAUUCUUACAUACUUUUUAUACUAAGCCCUUAAAAUUUGAAUCUGAUGUUUGUUUUCUGCUUAUAGCACGUCUCCUUCUGGACAAGCUUUAUCUCAAGAGCUCAAAGUCUCCUGUGACUGGAGCCCAUCAUACCAGACGGGUGAUGUCCACAGGAAGUCCAUCCUCUCACAGAUGGCAUGGCAGGUGCCAAAGAAAAAGAAGUAAAGGGAAAAUAAAAUCUACAAAUCGGUUGGACUGUGAAGGAUGCACUGCAAGAAGAGUUGAGGCUGGCGCCCCUCACCUUCCACAGGUAAGAGGUUGAUGAUAAGAAGCCAAAUCCUAAAGCUAUUAGUAGCAGCAGCAGCAGCAGCAGCAGCAACUGACAGUCAGGGACAGGCCCUCUGUCUUUAGCAAACUUUAUCACUAUUUCCCAUGUGUUCUGCUUCCUCCAGAACUCAGCAGAUAUCUCUAAAUCACUGUAUCAAUCUGUAGCAAGAUAAGCACACUUUUGAGACCACCAGAACUGCUGCAUCAUACUUCUAGGAAAAUGACAAGCAUGGUUUUAUGUAUUAUAUACCAGUGGUGGUAAACCUAUAGCAUGGGGCCACAGCGGGCUGUGUGUUAUCACUGAAAGCUCUGAAAGUUUCACCAUCACUGUUACAUAGCAUGUUAUGCUGUGUUCUCAGCAUCGCUGUUAGUUAUGUAAGCCUUCUUCCCUUUCACAAAUAAGAACAAGGCACAGGCCACUCAGCAGGCCUGCCCAAGGUCACGUAACUAACUCGUGAAGAUUCUGGGGGCUUCUUACAUAGAAUGUACUGGGGGCUUUUUAUAGAUCAGGCACCAUGCCAAGAGCUGUACUCAAAUUUCCUUCAUGUGAUAGGUUCUAUCUUUACCUCUGUUUUACAGAGUAGGAAAACAAUGGCUCAGAGAGGUUAAAUAAUCUACCUAAGGACUUACCCUAUCAAGUAACACAGCCAGGACUGCAUCUGCAACUGCCUCCAAAGUCAGUUCUUAGAUAGCUAAACAGACAUUUUCAGAUAAGAUUCACUUUGACUACAUCUGAUCAUGCCUAAUUAAUCCUGCUAAAUGAAAAGGACAGAACAGGUAGCCCUGCAGUACUUUUUUUUUUUUACUUAAAAAGGUUUAUUACAGUAAAAGACCCAUUGCAUGAAUCCCCUUCAA